RNAcentral lists this ribosomal RNA (492 nucleotides) under uncultured bacterium. RNAcentral's name for it is "partial 16S ribosomal RNA". It matches the Rfam family "Bacterial small subunit ribosomal RNA", at positions 29 to 507 of the family's 1533-position model. The record is from RNAcentral.
AGUGAACGCUGGCGGUAGGCCUAACACAUGCAAGUCGAACGGCAGCACAGUAAGAGCUUGCUCUUACGGGUGGCGAGUGGCGGACGGGUGAGGAAUACAUCGGAAUCUACUUUUUCGUGGGGGAUAACGUAGGGAAACUUACGCUAAUACCGCAUACGACCUACGGGUGAAAGCAGGGGAUCUUCGGACCUUGCGCGAUUGAAUGAGCCGAUGUCGGAUUAGCUAGUUGGCGGGGUAAAGGCCCACCAAGGCGACGAUCCGUAGCUGGUCUGAGAGGAUGAUCAGCCACACUGGAACUGAGACACGGUCCAGACCCCUACGGGAGGCAGCAGUGGGAAAUAUUGGACAAUGGGCGCAAGCCUGAUCCAGCCAUACCGCGUGGGUGAAGAAGGCCUUCGGGUUGUAAAGCCCUUUUGUUGGGAAAGAAAAGCAGCAGGUUAAUACCCCGCUGUUCUGACGGUACCCAAAGAAUAAGCACCGGCUAACUUCGUG